This 235-nucleotide ribosomal RNA is filed under the name uncultured bacterium. RNAcentral describes it as "partial 16S ribosomal RNA". It matches the Rfam family "Bacterial small subunit ribosomal RNA", at positions 99 to 334 of the family's 1533-position model. The record is from RNAcentral.
CGGACGGGUGAGUAACGCGUGGGUAACCUGCCUCAUACAGGGGGAUAACAGUUAGAAAUGACUGCUAAUACCGCAUAAGCGCACGGUACCGCAUGGUACAGUGUGAAAAACUCCGGUGGUGUGAGAUGGAUCCGCGUCUGAUUAGGUAGUUGGUGAGGUAACGGCCCACCAAGCCGACGAUCAGUAGCCGACCUGAGAGGGUGACCGGCCACAUUGGGACUGAGACACGGCCCAA